This 427-nucleotide non-coding RNA is filed under the name Peptococcaceae bacterium. Its description in RNAcentral is "T-box sequence". It matches the Rfam family "T-box leader". Rfam says of the family: Uncharged tRNA acts as the effector for transcription antitermination of genes in the T-box leader family. T-boxes are found upstream of many aminoacyl-tRNA synthetase genes and some amino acid biosynthetic genes usually in Gram-positive bacteria. The record is from RNAcentral. Lineage: Bacteria; Bacillati; Bacillota; Clostridia; Eubacteriales; Peptococcaceae.
AAAAAAUCUAUGAAGGAGAAAAGUAGGCUGGAAACAACCCUUAAGGGAGGAGACGUCACCGACUGUAAGCGUCUUCAGGGUAUGACCCGCAGAAGUUCUCUCCGGAGAUGCAGGCUGAAGCCACCGCCUGAAAAACCAGGCAGCCGGUGUGUAGGCUGGGCCGCAAUUCCUGCGUUAAAGGGAAGGGGUAUCGGAUCAAUUUCCCGUACCUUAUAAGUGGGCUAGCCUUAUCCGGAACGUCAUGAAAGACGGCGCCGUGAGGCGGCCAAUUAGGGUGGUAACACGGAUAACAAGGCUUUCCGUCCCUGAACAGGGAUGGAAGGUUUUUUUAUUAUCCGGGGUAAUUUUUUCAGUACCUUUUUUAAGAGGGUCCGGUUUCGGACCAACAAGGGUGGUACCGCGGAAGUCUGCAACUUUCGUCCCUACG